RNAcentral lists this unclassified non-coding RNA (297 nucleotides) under Hevea brasiliensis (rubber tree). Lineage: Eukaryota; Viridiplantae; Streptophyta; Magnoliopsida; Malpighiales; Euphorbiaceae. The record is from RNAcentral.
AGAGUUCAUCAGCUUGGCCAGGCCAAAGUCUGCUAAAUAAGCCUCGAACUUGGAAUCUAGAAGUAUGUUAUUGCACUUAACAUCUCUGUGAAGUAUUGCAGGCACACAAUCAUGAUGAAGAUAAGCUAGACCUUGAGCUGAUCCUACUGCAAUCUUGUACCUUGUUUCCCAAUCCAAAUUUCUAUUCCCUUGCAACAGCUGUUGCAGAUUACCAUUCGGAAUGUAGUUGUAGAGAAGGAGCUUGACACUUCUAUUGGAACAAUAGCCCAAGAGCUUCACAAUAUUCCGAUGUCGAAU